RNAcentral lists this ribosomal RNA (253 nucleotides) under uncultured bacterium. RNAcentral's name for it is "partial 16S ribosomal RNA". It matches the Rfam family "Bacterial small subunit ribosomal RNA", at positions 524 to 776 of the family's 1533-position model. The record is from RNAcentral.
UACGUAGGGGGCGAGCGUUGUUCGGAUUUACUGGGCGUAAAGAGCGCGUAGGCGGCCGGAUAAGUCCGUUGUGAAAUCCCCCGGCUCAACCGGGGACCCGCUUCGGAAACUGUCCGGCUUGAGUCGCGGAGAGGAGAGCGGAAUUCCCAGUGUAGCGGUGAAAUGCGUAGAUAUUGGGAGGAACACCGGUGGCGAAGGCGGCUCUCUGGACGCGUACUGACGCUGAGGCGCGAAAGCUAGGGGAGCAAACGGG